This is a non-coding RNA of Macaca mulatta (Rhesus monkey), 494 nucleotides long. The record is from the annotation of a RefSeq genome assembly. NCBI's taxonomy places the organism in Eukaryota, Metazoa, Chordata, Mammalia, Primates, Cercopithecidae.
CCAGAGUGUUCCAUUCGGUGAUCAGCACAGAACACAGAGGACUCACCAUGAAGUUUGGGCUGAGCUGGGUUUUCCUUGUUGCUAUUUUAAGAGGUGUCCAGUGUGAGGUGCAGCUGGUGGAGUCUGGAGGAGGCUUGGUUCAGCCUGGGGGGUCCCUGAGACUCUCCUGUGCAGCCUCUGGAUUCACCUUCAGUAGCUAUGGCAUGAGCUGGGUCCGCCAGACUCCAGGGAAGGGGCUGGAGUGGGUGGCAGUUAUAUGGUAUGAUGGAAGUAAGAAAUACUACGCAGACUCUGUGAAGGACCGAUUCACCAUCUCCAGAGACAAUUCCAAGAACAUGCUAUAUCUUCAAAUGAACAACCUGAAAUUGGAGGACACGGCCGUGUAUUACUGUGGGAGAGACACAGUGAGGGGAAGUCAGUGUGAGCCCAGACACAAACCUCCCUGCAAGAACGUGGGGGGAAAUCAGCUGCAGGGGCUGCUCAGGACCCACUGA